This 449-nucleotide ribosomal RNA is filed under the name uncultured bacterium. RNAcentral describes it as "partial 16S ribosomal RNA". It matches the Rfam family "Bacterial small subunit ribosomal RNA", at positions 29 to 523 of the family's 1533-position model. The record is from RNAcentral.
AACGAACGCUGGCGGCAUGCCUAACACAUGCAAGUCGAACGAGAUCUUCGGGUCUAGUGGCGCACGGGUGCGUAACGCGUGGGAAUCUGGCCUUUGGGUCGGAAUAACAGAUGGAAACGACUGUUAAUACCGGAUGAUGACGAAAGUCCAAAGAUUUAUCGCCAGAGGAUGAGCCCGCGUAGGAUUAGUUAGUUGGUGUGGUAAAGGCGCACCAAGGGGACGAUCAUUAGCUGGUCUGAGAGGAUGAUCAGCCAUACUGGGAGUGAGACACGGCCUUGACUCCUAUAGGAGGCAGCAUUGGGAAAUAUUGGACAAUGGUCGAAAUCCUGGUCCAGCAAUGCCGUAUGUGUGAUGAAGGCCUUAGUGUUGUAAAUCUCUUUUACCCAGGAUGAUAAUGACAGUACCGGGAGAAUAAGCUCCGGCUAACUCCGUGCCAGCCGCCGCAGUAA